Molecule: ribosomal RNA, 416 nt
Filed under: uncultured bacterium
Lineage: Bacteria
Description: bacterial SSU rRNA
Rfam family: Bacterial small subunit ribosomal RNA
Source: RNAcentral
AGCAGUGAGGAAUAUUGGACAAUGGGUUAGCGCCUGAUCCAGCCAUCCCGCGUGAAGGACGACGGCCCUAUGGGUUGUAAACUUCUUUUGUACAGGGAUAAACCUACCCUCGUGAGGGUAGCUGAAGGUACUGUACGAAUAAGCACCGGCUAACUCCGUGCCAGCAGCCGCGGUAAUACGGAGGGUGCAAGCGUUAUCCGGAUUUAUUGGGUUUAAAGGGUCCGUAGGCGGAUGCGUAAGUCAGUGGUGAAAUCUCACAGCUCAACUGUGAAACUGCCAUUGAUACUGCGUGUCUUGAGUGAGGUUGAAGUAGCUGGAAUAAGUAGUGUAGCGGUGAAAUGCAUAGAUAUUACUUAGAACACCAAUUGCGAAGGCAGGUUACUAAGUCUCAACUGACGCUGAUGGACGAAAGCGUG